CUACGGAGGAUCCGAGCGUUAUCCGGAUUUAUUGGGUUUAAAGGGUGCGCAGGCGGCCAUUUAAGUCAGCGGUUAAAUCGUGGGGCUCAACCCCAUUCUGCCGUUGAUACUGGGUGGCUUGAUUGCGGUCGAGGUUGGCGGAAUUCGUUGUGUAGCGGUGAAAUGCAUAGAUAUUACACAGAACGCCGAUUGUGAAGACACCUCACGAAGCGGUAACUGACGCUGAGGCACGAAAGCGUGGGGAUCGAACAGGAUUAGAUACCCUGGUAGUCCACGCAGUAAACGAUGAUGACUAACCGUCGGCGAUAGACCGCCGGUGGCCAAGCGAAAGCGAUAAGUAUUCCACCUGGGGAGUACGCCGGCAACGGUGAAACUCAAAGGAAUUGGCGGGG
This 392-nucleotide ribosomal RNA is filed under the name uncultured bacterium. RNAcentral describes it as "partial 16S ribosomal RNA". It matches the Rfam family "Bacterial small subunit ribosomal RNA", at positions 523 to 918 of the family's 1533-position model. The record is from RNAcentral.